This 20-nucleotide microRNA is filed under the name Corchorus olitorius. RNAcentral's name for it is "bta-miR-232". Lineage: Eukaryota; Viridiplantae; Streptophyta; Magnoliopsida; Malvales; Malvaceae. The record is from RNAcentral.
GGUUUUUUUUUUUCUUUUUC